RNAcentral lists this ribosomal RNA (579 nucleotides) under Fusarium proliferatum. Its description in RNAcentral is "eukaryotic LSU rRNA". The stretch from base 203 to 356 matches the Rfam family "5.8S ribosomal RNA". The record is from RNAcentral. Lineage: Eukaryota; Fungi; Ascomycota; Sordariomycetes; Hypocreales; Nectriaceae.
AGUAAAAAGUCGUAACAAGGUCUCCCGUUGGUGAACCAGCGGAGGGAUCAUUACCCGAGUUUACAACUCCCAAACCCCUGUGAACAUACCAAUUGUUGCCUCGGCGGAUCAGCCCGCUCCCGGUAAAACGGGACGGCCCGCCAGAGGACCCCUAAACUCUGUUUCUAUAUGUAACUUCUGAGUAAAACCAUAAAUAAAUCAAAACUUUCAACAACGGAUCUCUUGGUUCUGGCAUCGAUGAAGAACGCAGCAAAAUGCGAUAAGUAAUGUGAAUUGCAGAAUUCAGUGAAUCAUCGAAUCUUUGAACGCACAUUGCGCCCGCCAGUAUUCUGGCGGGCAUGCCUGUUCGAGCGUCAUUUCAACCCUCAAGCCCCCGGGUUUGGUGUUGGGGAUCGGCGAGCCCUUGCGGCAAGCCGGCCCCGAAAUCUAGUGGCGGUCUCGCUGCAGCUUCCAUUGCGUAGUAGUAAAACCCUCGCAACUGGUACGCGGCGCGGCCAAGCCGUUAAACCCCCAACUUCUGAAUGUUGACCUCGGAUCAGGUAGGAAUACCCGCUGAACUUAAGCAUAUCAAUAGCGGGA